Molecule: long non-coding RNA, 667 nt
Organism: Sapajus apella (tufted capuchin)
Lineage: Eukaryota; Metazoa; Chordata; Mammalia; Primates; Cebidae
Exons: 3
Source: RefSeq, a predicted model, not a curated record
CUUAAAGAAAUGGUGGGAUAAAUCUUCAUGACCUUAGAUUUAGCAAUGGUUUCUUAGCUAGGACAACAAAAACAUACGCAAACAAAGGAAAAAGAUAAAUUGAACUUCAUUGAACUUAAAAUAUUUUGUGCUUCAAAGGACACAAUCAGGAAGUGAAAAAACCCAUAAAAUGGGAGAAAUAACUAAAUCUUCUAUCUGUUAAAGGGUUUGUACCUAGAAUGUAUGAAGAAUUUUUACGAUUCAAUAAUAAGAUGACCCAAUUUUAAAAUGGGCACAGGAUCUCACUUGAGUUUUGUAUGAGAUCAACAGGCUGCUAGUUGGAAGCUUGACUCCUAACUUUCUUCUUCUUGGAAGUUAAUCUUUCUAAUCUGUAUUUUAACCUGCACACCUUUGGAAGGAACGUAGUUAAGGCUGGGGUUGCAAUGUGUUGGAUGAAAAGGAAUCUCCACUGCAGCUUUUGGUUUUUCAGUGUUCUUUAUAUGCAGGAAAAUAUCUGGAGGCCCCCAAAUCACCGAAGGGAAAAGUCAACUGGAAACUGCUUAGUACCAGCCUGCUUCCCAUUCUAUCCAGAGUCACCCUGCUGCUCACUGAGGUAGUGCAUAUCUGAUUGGCUCUUUUGUGGUUUUUCUUUUUUCUUCUGUUUUUAGACAGGGACUCACUCUGUUGC